RNAcentral lists this unclassified non-coding RNA (965 nucleotides) under Bombus terrestris (buff-tailed bumblebee). RNAcentral's name for it is "misc RNA ENSBTSG00005029762.1". The record is from RNAcentral. Lineage: Eukaryota; Metazoa; Arthropoda; Insecta; Hymenoptera; Apidae.
GGUGAAUGUAUAGAGGGAUCGAGAGAGAUAGAGAGGCGGCAAGGGAUGAACGUUCGUAUGCAUCGUGCACGAUCAGGGCCCUCUGGCGUAUUCAAAGCGCGCAGCGUCGCUCCAUCUCGAGGAAUGCGGCAAUCGAUUAUCACGGUCCUGCAUAUCGAUACUACCGUCGGACACAGGGCCGCGCGGCGCAGAACCGCGCGCGUCGAGCCGGAGACAGCGGCGAAGAGAGAGCGAAAGAGAGGGAGAGAGAGAGAGAGAGGAGGAGGAGGAGAAAGAGAAAGCAUUGGGGGACGCCACACGCUAGACAGGGUGCAAGGGUGUCCGCUUAGCGCCGCUCUCCGCUAUCCUGGCCACACACGCACACGCGGCCGACUAAUGACAUCGGCUCCUCUAUAAUACUCGUGCCUCGAAUAUCAUCGGCCCGAUAUUGCCACCGCGAGAGAUUAAUGUUUCGUCCUAACCCAUCCCUUCCUCCCUCACGCUCUGCAUCGCUCUUUGCUGCUCCGUUCUUUUCCGCGUGUAUCCCUUUCUCCUGAUGGCUGUCGACAGUUCUUUAACGACACUUGCCUAUGUUGGGCGCGUGUCCUACUCAGACUUCUCGUAAUCAUGGCGAACCCUAUCGUCAAAUCGUUCGCUACGAUCGUGAUGUUCGUGCAAACGAGUCGAGGGUAAUCGAAAUUGUGGCGUCGCCCUUUCCUUUUCUAUAAAGCAAUUCGUUUCGCGCGAAAAGAAAAAUGUUAGCAUCGAAGCGUCUGUCGUCGUCCGAUCCGAUAAACGUCGAAGCUAGACCCUGCCACUCUGGAAACUUGGAGACGAGUGGAGUUUCGGGGCACGGCGAGAUGGUAGUUCGUCCGCGACAAGCGGCUAGAACGAUAAUGGCGGCUAUUAACGAGCCGUAUCGGGCGUGAAGACACCUGAGCCCAAAAUAUCACCCCGAUUAAUGCAAUUACAGCUUACAAGUCCCU